This 1129-nucleotide long non-coding RNA is filed under the name Olea europaea subsp. europaea. Lineage: Eukaryota; Viridiplantae; Streptophyta; Magnoliopsida; Lamiales; Oleaceae. The record is from RNAcentral.
UUUGAUUUGAGGGUUUCUGUUUUUUUCGCUUUCUGUUUUGUUUUAUUUCUCUAAUAUCUUACAGCCAAUGUAUCAAUUUGCAUCGGGAGAUCCGUUGCAGUUAAAAGAGCUGCUGAAUAUAAAAAUUUUUUCUACACUGAGGAUAAGGAUGUAAGGGAUUCAAACUUUUUUUCUCAGGGAUUGUCAUUAGUAGCUAAAAUUUUCAUUUUUAUUGUGGUGUCGAUGUAAUUUAGGUGAUUGAAGCUCCUCUACCAAAGGGCACCAUUAGAUAAUGCAGUUGUUGUUCAUUGGUUAGCUAUUAGAGGAGUUCAACCCACUAUUCCAGAAAAUCCUCCUCCCGAAGGUACUCGAGCACAAUGAUAGAGUCUAAAAUAUGUACAACAAAAGCAGAUGUGUAUAUCUACGAAUGAUAGAAUAAUCCUUUUCCCCCAUCUCUAGAUACAGUUAGUUUUUUGGCCGUGCCGUUGAAUUAAACCGACUAUGAUGGCUUUAUGUUCAAUUCAUAAGGGAUUCGUGUGUUAUUCACUCUACCCAUGUCAUAAAAAUGAUAUACCUUUUGUUUGUCGCGGUAAUCACUGUUCCUUAUGAUAAUGGAAAGACUGCGUACAAAGAAGAUUGAAUUCUUGUUGACAUCAAAUUACUUGUAAAGCAUGUACUUUCUUGUGAGCUUCACGUGCAGCUGCGGCCUUGUGUGCAAAUCUAUGUGAUUCCAAUCAAGGAAAAAUUGACACCAUUGGUUUUCUGAUUUGUGCCUCAGCUAAAGACUUUGGGAAAGUCACAGAUAUUACAGUUAGUAGAUCUGAUCCUGCCCUCUUUAAAGAAGCCCUUGUGAGCUUGGAUACCGACUCAGGGAUCCAUCCUUCAGUUCCUCACUUUACAUUUUUUGUUGUUGAUAUGGUAAUUAUAAGUCAUUUCUUGUCCAAACUGUAUCAACAUUAUAGGGCAAGGGCUCAGGAUCUGAUAUUAUGUAAGUUUCUUAUCAUCUCAAUAAUUUUUCUCUCCUUUUUGCUUUGAUACGUUUUGUUUGGAUCCUUCUUCAAAAUCUACAAAUACACAUCGAGCCCCAUGUAAGUUUAUGGUUACAUUUUUUUCCCCAUCUCAUUGAGGAUUAAGGUGGGAAAAACACAAG